This 494-nucleotide ribosomal RNA is filed under the name uncultured Streptococcus sp. Its description in RNAcentral is "bacterial SSU rRNA". It matches the Rfam family "Bacterial small subunit ribosomal RNA", at positions 73 to 555 of the family's 1533-position model. The record is from RNAcentral. Lineage: Bacteria; Bacillati; Bacillota; Bacilli; Lactobacillales; Streptococcaceae.
UGCUUGCACCGAGCGNUAUGAGUUGCGAACGGGUGAGUAACGCGUAUGANACCUGCCUCUUAGCGGGGGAUAACUAUUGGAAACGAUAGCUAAUACCGCAUAAAAGUCGACAUUGCAUGAUGUUGACUUGAAAGGUGCAAUUGCAUCACUAAGAGAUGGACCUGCGUUGUAUUAGCUAGUUGGUGAGGUAACGGCUCACCAAGGCGACGAUACAUAGCCGACCUGAGAGGGUGAUCGGCCACACUGGGACUGAGACACGGCCCAGACUCCUACGGGAGGCAGCAGUAGGGAAUCUUCGGCAAUGGGGGCAACCCUGACCGAGCAACGCCGCGUGAGUGAAGAAGGUUUUCGGAUCGUAAAGCUCUGUUGUAAGAGAAGAACGAGUGUGAGAGUGGAAAGUUCACACUGUGACGGUAACUUACCAGAAAGGGACGGCUAACUACGUGCCAGCAGCCGCGGUAAUACGUAGGUCCCGAGCGUUAUCCGGAUUUAUU